CGCCGCACCGUCGCAGUACCCCAACCCUAAUUUGCCAACUCCCUACUACCACCACCAUCCUGGGGGAUCAUAUUACCAUACCUCUCGCCUUGCAGCUCCCCAGAAUUACCCGCCCUACCCUUACGCUGCUCCUCCUCCUCCACAGCCGCCCGCUGUACCCUACGUCGACCACCAGAAGGCUGUCACGAUUAAGAACGACGUCAAUGUGAAGAAGGAGACGAUUAGGAUCGUUGAAGAUG
RNAcentral lists this long non-coding RNA (239 nucleotides) under Linum usitatissimum (flax). RNAcentral describes it as "long non-coding RNA (LUSI_LNC000457)". Lineage: Eukaryota; Viridiplantae; Streptophyta; Magnoliopsida; Malpighiales; Linaceae. The record is from RNAcentral.